UGUUGUGCGGCCCACAUUGUUCACACUUGUCAACAAUAUCGAACAAUAUUGUUGAGCCUGAAUCAGGUGUAACAAUAUUAUUGUUCAAUAUUGUUGACAACAGUGAACAAAGUGGGCCGCACAAC
This 125-nucleotide microRNA precursor is filed under the name Paramuricea clavata. Lineage: Eukaryota; Metazoa; Cnidaria; Anthozoa; Malacalcyonacea; Plexauridae. The record is from RNAcentral.